GAUGAACGCUGGCGGCGUGCCUAAUACAUGCAAGUCGAGCGAACGGACGAGAAGCUUGCUUCUCUGAUGUUAGCGGCGGACGGGUGAGUAACACGUGGAUAACCUACCUAUAAGACUGGGAUAACUUCGGGAAACCGGAGCUAAUACCGGAUAAUAUUUUGAACCGCAUGGUUCAAAAGUGAAAGACGGUCUUGCUGUCACUUAUAGAUGGAUCCGCGCUGCAUUAGCUAGUUGGUAAGGUAACGGCUUACCAAGGCAACGAUGCAUAGCCGACCUGAGAGGGUGAUCGGCCACACUGGAACUGAGACACGGUCCAGAAGCUACGGGAGGCAGCAGUAGGGAAUCUUCCGCAAUGGGCGAAAGCCUGACGGAGCAACGCCGCGUGAGUGGUGAAGGUCUUCGGAUCGUAAAACUCUGUUAUUAGGGAAGAACAUAUGUGUAAGUAACUGUGCACAUCUUGACGGUACCUAAUCAGAAAGCCACGGCUAACUACGUG
RNAcentral lists this ribosomal RNA (496 nucleotides) under uncultured bacterium. RNAcentral's name for it is "partial 16S ribosomal RNA". It matches the Rfam family "Bacterial small subunit ribosomal RNA", at positions 28 to 507 of the family's 1533-position model. The record is from RNAcentral.